This is an RNA transcript of Benincasa hispida (wax gourd), 720 nucleotides long. RefSeq lists it as uncharacterized. The record is from RefSeq and is a predicted model, not a curated record. Lineage: Eukaryota; Viridiplantae; Streptophyta; Magnoliopsida; Cucurbitales; Cucurbitaceae.
GAUGGACGCCUGGAGUUGCAGUCCCAUUUUAGCAUCUGAACAUUUCUUAACAAGUUUUGUGUGAAUGAUUGUGAGAAAAGUAACCAAAGAGUCUUCACCAACUCGGAUGCAGUCCAUGCUUUAGGUGUCUCACUUCCAAGUUUCAACAGCUGCUUUCUUUCAAAAAGUUUUACCAAAUCAUGUACAGUACAUGAAGGCAUUGGGCUCCUUGUCUCUUCUGGCUUGUAUCUAUGGUGACAAAGUCUGUACGUAUGGUUUUUUCCUACUAAGGGAAUGCAACAGUGAAAAACCGAAAGAAGCGCGACAGAAAUGUGUGUUUCACUUUCAAUGAGUGGACCUUAGAUUGAUGUUGAUUGUAGAACAUUUGUAGAUUCCAGCUUGGUUUACCUUGAUCAGGUUUUGUCAGUAAGUCAGGUUGACCUGACAUUGUGUGGAUGGAUGAUUUGAGAAAUGAUGCAUAUUUUACAUGGAUUGCAAAAGGAAUGAAUGUCUGACUGUUUGACUGUGGACCGUAGAAGCUGUAAUGACGUUUAUUUGUGGAAAAGCACCAAUCACGGCGAACAAAAAUCCCACAUGCAGAUCAUUGAACCAAGAUAAUCAUUUUUUUCAACGCUCAACAGUGUCGCUUUUGAAUUUAGUGUCUAAAAUAUUUUGAUCCGUUUAGUUAAAGUGAACUUAAUUUAAUGGUAAUUUGUAUGAUCUUUAUCUUUAAAGAUCAAA